ACACAUGCAAGUCGAGGGGCAGCGAGGGAGUGGCAACACUUCUGUCGGCGACCGGCGCACGGGUGAGUAACGCGUAUGCAACCUGCCCUUCACAGGGGGAUAACCGGGAGAAAUUCCGACUAAUACCGCAUACGUCCUCCGGGGGCAUCCCCGGGGGAUGAAAGAGUUAUCGGUGAAGGAUGGGCAUGCGUGAUAUUAGGUAGUUGGCGGGGCAACGGCCCACCAAGCCCACGAUAUCUAGGGGUUCUGAGAGGAAGGUCCCCCACAUUGGUACUGAGACACGGACCAAACUCCUACGGGAGGCAGCAGUGAGGAAUAUUGGUCAAUGGACGAGAGUCUGAACCAGCCAAGUCGCGUGAAGGAAGACGGAUCUAUGGUUUGUAAACUUCUUUAGUGCGGGAACAAAGCGGCGUCGUGACGCCGGAUGAGUGUACCGCAAGAAUAAGCAUCGGCUAACUCCGUGCCAGCAGCCGCGGUAAUACGGAGGAUGCGAGCGUUAUCCGGAUUUAUUGGGUUUAAAGGGAGCGCAGGCUGCGAGGCAAGUCAGCGGUCAAAUGUCGGGGCUCAACCCCGGCCUGCCGUUGAAACUGUUUUGCUAGAGUUCGAGUGAGGUAUGCGGAAUGCGUUGUGUAGCGGUGAAAUGCAUAGAUAUGACGCAGAACUCCGAUUGCGAAGGCAGCAUACCAACUCGCGACUGACGCUGAGGCUCGAAAGCGUGGGUAUCGAACAGGAUUA
This 735-nucleotide ribosomal RNA is filed under the name uncultured bacterium. RNAcentral describes it as "bacterial SSU rRNA". It matches the Rfam family "Bacterial small subunit ribosomal RNA", at positions 51 to 780 of the family's 1533-position model. The record is from RNAcentral.